This 391-nucleotide ribosomal RNA is filed under the name uncultured Scuticociliatia. RNAcentral describes it as "partial small subunit ribosomal RNA". It matches the Rfam family "Eukaryotic small subunit ribosomal RNA", at positions 30 to 432 of the family's 1831-position model. The record is from RNAcentral. Lineage: Eukaryota; Ciliophora; Oligohymenophorea.
GCUUGUCUCAAAGAUUAAGCCAUGCACGUCUAAGUAUAAGCGAUUAUACUGUGAAACUGCGAAUGGCUCAUUAUAUCAGUUAUAGUUUAUUUGAUAAUUGAAAAUUACAUGGAUAACCGUGGUAAUUCUAGAGCUAAUACAUGCUAUCAAGCCCGACUUCUUGAAGGGUUGUAUUUAUUAGACUUAAGCCAAUAUUCCUUGUGUCUAUUGCGAUGAUUCAUAAUAACUGAUCGAAUCUCAAAUUUGAGAUAAAUCAUUCAAGUUUCUGCCCUAUCAGCUUUCGAUGGUAGUGUAUUGGACUACCAUGGCAGUAACGGGUAACGAAGAAUUAGGGUUCGAUUUCGGAGAGGGAGCAUGAGAAACGGCUACCACAUCUAAGGAAGGCAGCAGG